RNAcentral lists this ribosomal RNA (494 nucleotides) under uncultured bacterium. Its description in RNAcentral is "partial 16S ribosomal RNA". It matches the Rfam family "Bacterial small subunit ribosomal RNA", at positions 28 to 507 of the family's 1533-position model. The record is from RNAcentral.
GACGAACGCUGGCGGCGUGCUUAACACAUGCAAGUCGAACGGUGAAGCGCCUUCCUUUUUGGUGGGUGUGGAUGAGUGGCGAACGGGUGAGUAACACGUGAGUAACCUGCCCCCUUCUUCUGGAUAACCGCAUGAAAGUGUGGCUAAUACGGGAUAUUCUGGGUCUGUCGCAUGAUGGGUCUGGGAAAGAUAUUGUUUCGGUGGGGGAUGGGCUCGCGGCCUAUCAGCUUGUUGGUGGGGUGAUGGCCUACCAAGGCGGUGACGGGUAACCGGCCUGAGAGGGUGGACGGUCACACUGGGACUGAGACACGGCCCAGACUCCUACGGGAGGCAGCAGUGGGGAAUAUUGCACAAUGGGCGCAAGCCUGAUGCAGCGACGCCGCGUGAGGGAUGGAGGCCGUCGGGUUGUGAACCUCUUUCGCCAGUGAAGCAGGCCUGCCUCGUUUGUGGGUGGGUUGACGGUAGCUGGAUAAGAAGCGCCGGCUAACUACGUG